GAUGAACGCUGGCGGCGUGCCUAAUACAUGCAAGUCGAGCGAACGGACGAGAAGCUUGCUCCUCUGAUGUUAGCGGCGGACGGGUGAGUAACACGUGGAUAACCUACCUAUAAGACUGGGAUAACUUCGGGAAACCGUAGCUAAUACCGGAUAAUAUUUUGAACCGCAUGGUUCAAUAGUGAAAGACGGUCUUGCUGUCACUUAUAGAUGGAUCCGCGCUGCAUUAGCUAGUUGGUAAGGUAACGGCUUACCAAGGCAACGAUGCAUAGCCGACCUGAGAGGGGUGUCCGCCAACACGGAAAUGAGGCAACGUCCAAGAUCCUAAGGGGAGCAGCAGGAGGGAAACCUCCGCAAUGGGCGGAAGGCUGAACGAGCAAAGGCGCGUGGGUGGAGGAGGUUUUCGGAUCGGAAAACCCUGUUAAUAAGGAAAGAAAAAUGUGGAAGUUACUGAGCACAGCUUGGCGGGUACCAAUCAGGAAAGCAAGGCUAAACUAGGU
RNAcentral lists this ribosomal RNA (497 nucleotides) under uncultured bacterium. RNAcentral describes it as "partial 16S ribosomal RNA". It matches the Rfam family "Bacterial small subunit ribosomal RNA", at positions 28 to 506 of the family's 1533-position model. The record is from RNAcentral.